Rattus norvegicus (Norway rat) is the source of this 69-nucleotide non-coding RNA. Lineage: Eukaryota; Metazoa; Chordata; Mammalia; Rodentia; Muridae. The record is from Rfam.
GGGGAUUUAGCUCAGUGGUAGAGCACUUGCCUAGCAAGCACAAGGCCCUGGGUUCAGUUCCCAGCUCCG